This is a non-coding RNA of Microcebus murinus (gray mouse lemur), 2044 nucleotides long. Lineage: Eukaryota; Metazoa; Chordata; Mammalia; Primates; Cheirogaleidae. The record is from RefSeq and is a predicted model, not a curated record.
AUGCUUGCCAACAAAAAGCAGACACAACAAAGUCUUUAAAAGCUAAGUUAAUGCAGCUUCCACCAUGGAGAGGCUCCCACCCCUGGGCCGGAUGCUUUUCCCAGCCUCGGAUCUGACUGGAGAGUCACUGCCCUGGAAAGCCAGGCUGGAGGCUGCUCUUCCAGAGAUGCCACUCGCCUGGUGAGCGUGCAGACGGCGGCCACUGGCUGUUGAGGAGAGACGCUGUACUUCCUCGGCCAGACAGGCAGAGUGUGCUGUGGCUGCUGGGCUGGAUGUUGGUGCUUGGCCUCUUGGGAUGGGGCAGCUGGUGGCUCCUUGGAAACAGAUUGUGAGGGACCUGGAUAGUACCCUGCAGUGACAGGACACUAUCAGGAGGGAAGAGCCUGGGGGAGGCCAGGGUAGACUGCAUCACCUACGUUUAAGACCAAGUCCCCAACCCCCGAGUCCUGAGCCACCGAGACUGGCUGGCCCCGGCCAGCUCUCAGGCCCAAAGUUAGGUGACUGCUUUACCUUUGUACAUCUGAUGGUCUUUCUGUUCCUGUCCUAUCUUGUUCCUCACCUUUCUCCACUCCAGGUUGGAACCUUAUAUUCUGUCCUCUGUGACUGAUGUCUCCUGCUUCCGUUUACCUGUGUAUUUGGCACUUCUGUGCUCUCGCAGUUCACCCUUGUUGGGCAGGGCCGGGGCCUGUUUCCUACACAGUCCCUCAAAUUACUUUGAACAAGUGGCCUCUCAUUUCAGCAUUGCGGCCCAAAACUUAUGUAGCUCAUUUGCUCACCGGGCACCGAGGACAGGUGUCCGUCCAGGCGCUCGAUGUCAGAGUCUGACAAGGGAUUCUGAGUGCUGAGGCGUCUGGCAGCUCUGAAAGGGCAGCAGAUGCCCACUGUCCCAUGAGAAUGCUGUCCUGAGGCCUACUGUGUGCCAGCGAGGGUGGCGGUGUGGGUCCAGAGGCCCCUUCGGGCAGUUUGCCCCGGAAUGCGGUUAGAAACAGGACAAAGCCCGGAGGUCCAGGAGCCUCCCAGGCCGGAGUGGGGGGGGAGAGAGGGCUGAAAGGGGGGCCCUGCCUGCGGCACAGCCUGGAACACUUUUCCUCCUCCGCAUAAAUAGUUCCUGGCCAGUUGCCUUGGGAACCAGAUUCAAUUGACUGACGUCACUGGGCGUCAUUGCAUAGCAACCAGACAGAGCUUUCAGGCACCAUGGUCACGGUUGCCAUGGGGAUGGUCGUUGGGUGUCUACCCACUCCCUUUGCCUCAGCUCUGGCCAGGAGCUGCUCUUCCCUGGCAGGAAAAGGCUCUGCCUGGCCUGCUGCAGCCCAGACACCCUCCUUGCCCCUUGGGCUGGCCGGGCUGCCAUGGCCAAAGAAAGCCCCAUUGUGGCCCAGCACACCCUGCGCCAGGGACAUUUCUCUGACAGAGAGGCCUUUGUUCGCCCUCACCCCAUCUGAACUUCUCUGUUCCAGCCUUGUUUUCUCACAGCGUCCCAACCUGGGUUCCUGCUCUGGUAACAGGAGCGGGUGGCAGCACGGGGCGUUUUCAUUCCCCUCCGCCUAGUCGCCCAGGAAAUCUCUGAGCUUGGCCACCUGCCUCGGGGGAGGAGACACUGAUCCUGCUCACUCCACUCUGCUCCCUUUCCUGGUUACCCUCCUCCCUCCUGUCCCUCCCGUGGCGUUUGUGCUGAGUGACGUUUUGCUCCACUGCUGCAUCGGGGUCACCGGGACGGCCUGCACUGACCACCUCCAAGUUUCGGAUGUGGGCCUUGUUCUUCGGGUGUCCCUGUCUCCGUUUGUCUGUUCCCACCACAGCAGAAUGUGAAGUGCUGAGGCCAGCAAGCCCCGGCUGGGCGACAAAGGCCCAGGACCUCACGCAGGGGCAGGCAACCCGCCACCUCCAUGUGUGGCUGGAGGAACCCUAACCAUCUCUUGUUUGAGGACCUCGCUCGUCUUGUUCAGACUCAGUAUGUUGGAGCCCAUCUGUCGGAGGUGUUUUCCUCACCAAAAACUGCAUUUUGAAAAGUACUAAUAAAAUAUAGGUUAGUAGCAAAACCAGA